Molecule: ribosomal RNA, 253 nt
Filed under: uncultured bacterium
Lineage: Bacteria
Description: partial 16S ribosomal RNA
Rfam family: Bacterial small subunit ribosomal RNA
Source: RNAcentral
UACGUAUGGUGCAAGCGUUAUCCGGAUUUACUGGGUGUAAAGGGAGCGCAGGCGGCACGGCAAGCCUGAUGUGAAAGCCCGCGGCCCAACCGCGGGACUGCAUUGGGAACUACCGGGCUGGAGUGCCGGAGAGGUAGGCGGAAUUCCUAGUGUUGCGGUGAAAUGCGUAGAUAUUAGGAGGAACACCAGUGGCGAAGGCGGCUUACUGGACGGUGACUGACGCUGAGGCUCGAAAGCGUGGGGAGCAAACAGG